AGGAUAUGGAAGUAUCAGAGGAGCUGCUUUAGGACCCCAAAUAGGGUAUGCAAAUGGAGCAACUCCCAAUGGGUUUGGAUCCAACCGUGAAGGUUAUGGAGCUUUGAAAGGAUUUGGUCCUCAAAUGAAUGGCCGUGGAGUUGGACGUGUUGCUGCGCUGGGGGGUUACCAACACCAACCUGAG
This is a long non-coding RNA of Xiphophorus hellerii (green swordtail), 184 nucleotides long. RefSeq lists it as uncharacterized. NCBI's taxonomy places the organism in Eukaryota, Metazoa, Chordata, Actinopteri, Cyprinodontiformes, Poeciliidae. The transcript is spliced from 4 exons. The record is from RefSeq and is a predicted model, not a curated record.